UCUUUAUUUUAAAUCUAUCUUAUAAAAAUUGUUCUCUAAAUAUUUUCUUCGACAUAACUCAAUAGAGAGCUUCUCAAUAAGAAUUCAUCAUAUAGUUUGAAAUUAUUCUCUAAUAUAUCUCGUAUUGUUUGGUGUGAUGCAUUUUUUGUCUAUUAGAUUUUGUCUUUGACUUGUAUGAUUACUUUUCAUCGCGGAUGUUUUUCAUUUUCAUUCAAUGUUAUUCUUCAGUCAUUUUAAACCCAAUAUUUUUUUAUGUGUUCCUUGUUAAUUUUUUGAUUUGGAUAUUUUUAAAGAAAAUACAUUUGAUAUUUAUUUUGAAAAUAUACUUUUGAAAUUUUAUUUCAAAAAUACACUUUUGAAAAUACACUUUUGAAAUUUCUUGCAAGUUAAAAAUCGU
Molecule: long non-coding RNA, 397 nt
Filed under: Brassica napus (rape)
Lineage: Eukaryota; Viridiplantae; Streptophyta; Magnoliopsida; Brassicales; Brassicaceae
Description: long non-coding RNA (BNAP_LNC022865)
Source: RNAcentral